AGAAGAUUUGGGAACAUCUGUGGUUAAGGUUCUUUCCGUGGCACAAAUGCUUUUCCUUCUAUUUUUGUUUGUUUUGUCGUGCAAACAUCAAUCAUCAAUGUCUUGUUGAAUGAUCAACCACUUCAAAUAUCUCACUGUUUUCAGAAGAAACUUUCAAUCUCUGAUCACAAAUUCCAAAGAAGAAUCCAUGGCCCAGUUCACUACACACGGUCGCUUGAAGCUGCUCUUCAAUGGGGAAGUUGGGUCAUCCAUUUUGGAGCACAACAAGGACCCUUUUCACUACAAGUGCAGCAGAUCAGCUCUGACACGCAAGAGAAGGCCAACAAGGUACAUGGGUUCUUCAGCUGGAGGAAUUCUUCGAUAUGCAACUUCAUCUAUGAGAAACAAAGCCAACCGUUGCAAUGCGGAGGCGCGCUUCACUGCUGGCAAUGAGGGUGUGCAUGAUGAAUAUGAAUAUGAUUCUGAUGGUGUUGAGGAUUUUGAUUAUGAAGAUGAUGUGUUUGGGUUUGAUGGAGAUGGCUUGUCUUGUUUCCGGGGUCUGGUAUUGGAUUUAGCUUACAGGCCAGUCAAUGUUGUAUGCUGGAAACGUGCCAUAUGUUUGGAGUUUAUGGAGAAGGCUGAUGUACUUGAGUAUUAUGAAAAGACUGUGAACUCCCCCAGUGGAUCUUUUUAUAUACCAGCUGUCUUAAGGGUUCCUCAUUUACUUCAGGUUGUUAAAAGAAGAAUAGUGAAGAACAAUCUUAGUCGCAAAAAUAUACUAUUCAGGGACCAUUUCACCUGUCAGUAUUGCUCUUCGCGUGAGAAUUUGACCAUUGAUCACGUGGUGCCUGCUGCACUAGGUGGAGAAUGGACAUGGGAAAAUCUAGUAAGACAAUAUUUUUCUCAUAUAGAAAAUACUUACUACUUGAUAUUUUUCUAAAAUUUAGCAUGCAUGAUCAUUAGGAUACAAGUAGCUGUCAUGAACACACUUUAAAUGGGUUAUUGCCUUAUUGGCAUUUCGUACGUGUAUAUUUGUCAUGGAUCUUCAUUUAUAGAACCUUUCCCCAUAGAUUUUCCUGGAAAAUCAGCAGUUGAGUUUUAUCGAAGGUGUUUGAUGCAUAAUUCAGUUGUCUGCACAUGAGGCUGAAGAACAAAAUUACAAACACAGAGAAGGCUUAUGAAAAUCUCUAUAUAUAAAUAGCUCAAGAUUUAUAGGAAAUACUAUAAAUCAACAAAUGACCGUCAAUUGUCUCUUCUCUGGCAGGGUAACCCAAAUUAUCAUUUUUCAGGGUUCAUUCUAUUUUGUUUCCAAAAAAGUACCACGUGUUUGUGAUGGAAGAAAAAAAAUCUAGCUAAUUGUGGGUACUUGGUUGGACUUCAAGCUGACUAUAAAGCUCAAUUAUGAUUUGAUACAUGAUUAUGCAAGUAGAAAUAGAAAGCUUCUAUUAACAUGGUUAAAAAAGGAACUUGACCUUUAAGAAUGCAUAAAAUAGGUAUUCAGUUUGAUAUCAAUUCUAGAAUCUUAAUUAUAAUUACUGCUCACUCCAUUUCUUUUUACUAAUUACUACCGUGACCGUGAUUAUCAAGAGUAGAGGACACCUAGUUACAAAUGAAAAGUUUCUUCUGGAUAAGUUUUUAACUGAUUGAAAGGGGAGGAAAGAGAUUUGUGAGAGUGAGUCUGAAGUCCUUCUUUCUCUUGAUAAUAGAACUCCUGUGCAGUUAGAACUUGGGAAAAUACUGAUUGACAUGAGAGAUCCCUGUGAAAAACUGAUCAAUUCUUUCUUGAGCUUUAAAAUGUGUGGCCAUUGUGUUACUGAAAAUGUUCUUGAAGAUCAUUCCAAAUUUCAACUGUAGUGGAAUAGAUGACGCUAGAAGUGAUUUUAAUAGGUACCCGGAGCUAGUUAGCAGUUUAGUUAGUUAGUUGAGGUAGUUUUAGUUAGUUUGGGAGAGUUACUUAGACAGUGUGUGAGAAUGUUAUAAAUAAGAGAACUUAGAGAGAAAUAGCAUCUUUUGGGAUCAUUAUUAUUGGGAAUUGGGAGAGACCAGGUUCUGUCGAAUAACCUGAAAAUUCAUACUGUUACUUCAAUAAAAUCAGUCUACUUUCUUCUUCAAUAGCUGGUACCUAUCAGAUUUCGGUGGAAAUGGAAUUGAGUUGCCAAGAAGCAACAAUAUGAUUGUCCCUCUGCCCAUGCCAGACGGCAGAAGCAGUUGAAUAUCAGAAUUUCCUGGUCAAACAAUGGAACCAUCUGCAAAACCAUUUUUGUUCUAUGCAAUCAAAGCCAUACACAUGGAAAGACACCAGAAACUGGAGUUUUCACCUUGAGUUGUUGAGAUACAAAAAUCAAUUCCAGGUUAUCAGAGGAGUGAAGAAGAAAGGACCUGAAGCAUCAUCCAUUGCAUUGAAAGCAGCCAGUGAUGAGGGAAGGACAAAGCUGGAAAGGAAUAGAAGAGAAUGCAGAGAAAACUAGGAAACUUUUUAUACUAUGUUUAGCCAGUGAGGUGACUGCUUGUGCCAAAUGCAACUCAAAGAAAGGUAAAAAAUCUUUAGAGGAGGCAAAAAUGAAGUUGAACAAAGUUCCAAAG
This is an RNA transcript of Lotus japonicus, 2562 nucleotides long. RefSeq lists it as uncharacterized. Lineage: Eukaryota; Viridiplantae; Streptophyta; Magnoliopsida; Fabales; Fabaceae. The record is from RefSeq and is a predicted model, not a curated record. The transcript is spliced from 6 exons.